RNAcentral lists this ribosomal RNA (95 nucleotides) under uncultured bacterium. RNAcentral describes it as "partial 16S ribosomal RNA". It matches the Rfam family "Bacterial small subunit ribosomal RNA", at positions 1390 to 1482 of the family's 1533-position model. The record is from RNAcentral.
CCGCCUGUCACACCAUGAGAGCUGACUGUACCAGAAGUCGCCGGGCUAACCCGCAAGGGGAGCAAGCGCCUAAGGUAUGGUUGGUGAUUGGGGUG